UCUUCUCUUUGAGGAUUCUCUGUCGUUUGUCUCGUUUUAAAAGGAUUUAUAUUACUAAACUUAAUUGGAAGAACCUAUGUGUCUGCAUGUGCUCAUCUGAUGAGUGACUCUCAAGUCUGAACAAGUGGCACAUUUGUCUCGUCGCCGUAAUUCAAUUGUCAAGACAAGUGACAUGUCCCUUGGCCCAUAAGGUUCCAAAUAUUCCAAUUAUGUUACAUGCUUCAACUUAUUUUUGGGGUCGAAAAUGACUUGCUUCAACUUAGAAGAUCUCAAAAUUCAUGCCUGCACAUACUUCAACUUAUAAUGAAAAACCUUUUUUGGUUUGAACCACUGCUUCAUUUUCUGGAGUGUUAUUUUUGGCUACGUAAGUAUGUCGAAAUUCCGUAACUCUGAAAUGUAUUGUACGUAAUUCAAAGGAACAAAGCCAAGCAUUUUCUUUAAUUUGUUCCCCAACACUUCUUAGUCCUACAUAAAUAUAUAUAUCCAAUUCCAUUAAAAGCACACAAGGGUAAUGUAAAGCAUUAUUUAAAUUGUAAAGCCUUGUGAAUACAAGAUUAAGAAACUAAAAGUAAAGCACAUAGAUGGAAUAAUAUACUAUCAUGUUUGUGCCAUGUGCUUGUCAGAUAAACAAGAGAUAGUGCUAGUUGGAGACUUUGACCAACUGUACUUGCUCCACCUCGUUCUCAUUUGAAUCCCCAACCAAAGUAGGCCCAGUACUUGUUGCUCUUUGAGGUGAAUGUGACGGUCAAUUUAAAAUAUUGUUCAUUGCUGACAUAAUUUAAAAUAUAGUCCCUUUAGUCCUAUUAUAAUUUGUCAUAUCAUAAUCAUAAUCAUCUAAUUAAAGAUCAACCCUAGGCCCAUCUCCUGCCACCAAUCCCUCUACCCUUAAUUAAGGACAAAACUGUAAUCUCAUCUAAACUAGGAGGAAAAAACACUUCUUCAAUUAUGCUAUACAGCUGCAUAUAUCUAUUUUCAUACCCAAAGAGCGAAUUCUCAAAGAGUGACAGCAAAACAAAUCAGAUUCUCCCUCUGACUCCAUUGAAUUUUUUAUGCCGCAGAACCACGUCCUCUUAAAAAAUUUCAAACUAUGAUGUAGUAAUGUAAGCUCAUUGUCAUUGAUUACUGAGGCAAAUUGAAAUUAUUUUCAAACUUACAACUGACGUUUCCUCACGCCCAAAUCCUAAGUUGGAUAUGGUCUGCCAAGUGCUAAAGAGGGACAAAAUCCUUCCCGAAGUUGGCGCUCAUGCUUCACUGAAAUUUCUAUUCUAAAAUUCUAAUCGCCUGAUUCAGCUCCACUAUCAUAUAUCAUAUGAUAUAAUGGUACACAUUCACUACAUUGGUAACAACUUUAAUUUAAUUUAAUAAUGCAUUUCAAUAAUAUAUAGUAGUCAGUUGUCAGUACAAAAACAUGUUCUAAGAAUCUACCUGGUGAGAAUAAGAUGCAAUCGUAGAAGAAUAACUUGAAACCAUCACACUAAUUAUAAAUCCAAAGCUCCUGAAAAUUUGAUUCUAACUGUUCAGGCUCGAUCAGGCUGCAUUAAACCAUGAAACAUCACUCUCAUUCUCUCUCUCUCUCUCUCAUAUGUCAAAUAAGGAAAUGAUGAUUUUGAUUCUCUAUAUCUACUUCUCUCCAACUUCAUUGACUUGGUUAGCAAACAACCUCUGAAUUUCAUUAGUCUAUUCACCAAUUAAAAAGAUAGUAGUAGCGCAAAAAAUUUGACAAUUUAAGGGGCAAAAAAGAGAAAAACAAACAAGAAAAAAAAAAGGAAAGAAAAGAUGAUUCAAGGGAAUCAACCAAACCCCUAUAAUUAACCCAGCACUCAAAAGGAUAUUGAAAGUCCUAAUUAGACUAAUAAUAUUUUUAAUAAAAACAUGAGAAAGGAAAUAAAAUUAUCAGUAGUGCCUUGUGUUGUCUACAUUAGGGGACUGUUGAGAAGUCCAUGCCAUGAUGAAUUGAUGCCAUUCC
Molecule: long non-coding RNA, 1966 nt
Filed under: Glycine max (soybean)
Lineage: Eukaryota; Viridiplantae; Streptophyta; Magnoliopsida; Fabales; Fabaceae
Description: long non-coding RNA (GMAX_LNC002592)
Source: RNAcentral